Molecule: ribosomal RNA, 195 nt
Filed under: Triticum aestivum (bread wheat)
Lineage: Eukaryota; Viridiplantae; Streptophyta; Magnoliopsida; Poales; Poaceae
Description: partial small subunit ribosomal RNA
Source: RNAcentral
AUGAUUACAAUGGAAGAAACUCAAAUCAGAUGGUUGACAAGAAGAAAUUUAACUGCCAUAAUUGUGGUGAACAAGGACACUUCAUAUCUGAGUGCACUAAGAAGAGGAAGCCAGAUGAUAAGAAGUAUAACAACAACCAGUCCAAGCAUCAGGAUAAUAGAAGGGGAAAUUCUUCACCUGAUGUUGGGUGGUUGA